GUAAAAAGCGUAACAAGGUUUCCGUAGGUGAACCUGCGGAAGGAUCAUUAUCGAGUUUUGACUGGGUUGUAGCUGGCCUUCCGAGGCAUGUGCACGCCCUGCUCAUCCACUCUACACCUGUGCACUUACUGUGGGCUUCAGAUCGUAAAACGGGUCCCUUUACCGGGCUUGCGGAGCGUGUCUGUGCCUGCGUUUAUCACAAACUCUAUAAAGUAUCAGAAUGUGUAUUGCGAUGUAACGCAUCUAUAUACAACUUUCAGCAACGGAUCUCUUGGCUCUCGCAUCGAUGAAGAACGCAGCGAAAUGCGAUAAGUAAUGUGAAUUGCAGAAUUCAGUGAAUCAUCGAAUCUUUGAACGCACCUUGCGCUCCUUGGUAUUCCGAGGAGCAUGCCUGUUUGAGUGUCAUGAAAUCUUCAACCUGCAAGCUUUUGUGGUUUGUAGGCUUGGACUUGGAGGCUUGUCGGCCGUUGUUGGUCGGCUCCUCUUAAAUGCAUUAGCUUGGUUCCUUGCGGAUCGGCUCUCAGUGUGAUAAUGUCUACGCUGCGACCGUGAAGCGUUUGGCGAGCUUCUAACCGUCUCAGUUGGAGACAACUUUAUGACCUCUGACCUCAAAUCAGGUAGGACUACCCGCUGAACUUAA
This 640-nucleotide ribosomal RNA is filed under the name Ganoderma sp. 2 YD-2015. RNAcentral describes it as "eukaryotic LSU rRNA". The stretch from base 252 to 405 matches the Rfam family "5.8S ribosomal RNA". The record is from RNAcentral. Lineage: Eukaryota; Fungi; Basidiomycota; Agaricomycetes; Polyporales; Polyporaceae.